UUUGGGCAGGGAGAAGGGAGAAUGUCAAUUAACAUCAGUUUCAGGCUAACUUUCAAAUGCUGCAGAAUACAUUCAACUGAAAAUACCUAGCUGCAACUGCAACUUGGAAUGGGGUCAGGUGAGAGGAAACCAGCACUGUAUGGACCCAACGACACUAGCAAGCAUAGAUGCACAAUUUGAAGCCACCAUUUCAAGAGACUUGGCUGGGUUCUGAAAAAGGUCCUAGAACCAGAAAGGCAAAACGUUAACGUUGAGCCUUGUGGCGGCCCACUGCCAGGGUGAGGGAAAUGGGGAUAGUAGGAGAGCUUCUGGCCCCAGCCUUCAGUCUUCUUUCUCCGACUAUCAGUAGUACCACUCUCCUUUCCCACUGGAUCACAGGUUUUUUGAGGGCCAGGGCUGUUUUUCGUUCCUAUAUUCCCUGUGCCUGGCACAUAGUCGAUGCUAAUAAAUGUUUGUUAAACAAAUGUUAUCUUAGCAAUGAUUCUGUUUCGUAAGCAUAAGAAAAGAUACAGGUACCAGAAGAUCACUUACAUUUAAUGAGCCCUCUUUUUCCAAGGCCCUAAAGGCUAGUAUCUAAGUUUGGUCUUCUCUCAUAUGUCUACUUAUUAGUCUCCAAAUGCACCCCCUAGCAAGGCCAUGGCACUGGCACUCUAGAAUGAGAGAGGGUGGAGUGAUCGCCAUGGGCCAGCAGUGGCUCCCAACAGUGCUUCACCCUCAAAAAAAUUUUUUUUUAUUUUUUUGAGAUGGAGUCUCCCUCUAUUGCCCAGGCUAGAGUGCAGUGGCACGAUCUCGGCUCACUGCAACUUGUCUCCUGGGUUCAAGCAAUUCUCUUGCCUCAGCCUCCCGAGUAGCUGGGACUACAGGAGCGUGCCAUCAUGCUAGGUUAAUUUUUGUAUUUUUAGUAGAGACAGGGUUUCACCAUAUUGGUCAGGCUGGUCUUGAACUCCUGACCUUGUGAUCCACCUACCUCGGCCUCCCAAAGUGCUGGGAUUACAGGCGUGAGCCACCCAUGCCCGGCCCCAAAAAUAUUUUUAUAUAUUUAAAAAAAUAAUAAAAUGAGAGACACCGCAGCUGAAUGAAUACACGCUCUAUGAAGAGAGACAAUCACAAGCUACACCAAAUCUAGGCCAGGAGUUCGAGACCAGCCUGACCAACAUGGUGAAACCCUGUCUCUACU
RNAcentral lists this long non-coding RNA (1177 nucleotides) under Homo sapiens (human). RNAcentral describes it as "HSALNT0005068". Lineage: Eukaryota; Metazoa; Chordata; Mammalia; Primates; Hominidae. The record is from RNAcentral.